This 454-nucleotide ribosomal RNA is filed under the name uncultured bacterium. RNAcentral describes it as "partial 16S ribosomal RNA". It matches the Rfam family "Bacterial small subunit ribosomal RNA", at positions 28 to 507 of the family's 1533-position model. The record is from RNAcentral.
GAUGAACGCUGACAGAAUGCUUAACACAUGCAAGUCAACUUGAACUUCGGUUUGGGUGGCGGACGGGUGAGUAACGCGUAAAGAACUUGCCUCACAGCUAGGGACAACAUUUGGAAACGAAUGCUAAUACCUGAUAUUAUGAUUUUAGGGCAUCCUAGAAUUAUGAAAGCUAUAUGCGCUGUGAGAGAGCUUUGCGUCCCAUUAGCUAGUUGGAGAGGUAACGGCUCACCAAGGCGAUGAUGGGUAGCCGGCCUGAGAGGGUGAACGGCCACAAGGGGACUGAGACACGGCCCUUACUCCUACGGGAGGCAGCAGUGGGGAAUAUUGGACAAUGGACCAAGAGUCUGAUCCAGCAAUUCUGUGUGCACGAUGAAGUUUUUCGGAAUGUAAAGUGCUUUCAGUUGGGAAGAAAAAAAUGACGAUACCAACAGAAGAAGUGACGGCUAAAUACGUG